UACGUAGGCGGAAAAUUAAGUCAGUGGUGAAAUCCUGCAGCUUAACUGUGGAACUGUUAUUGAUACUGGUUUUCUUGAAUAUAGUUGAGGUAGGCGGAAUGUGUAAUGUAGCGGUGAAAUGCUUAGAUAUUACACAGAACACCGAUUGCGAAGGCAGCUUACUAAGCUAUGAUUGACGCUGAGGUACGAAAGCGUGGGGAGCGAACAGGAUUAGAUACCCUGGUAGUCC
Molecule: ribosomal RNA, 229 nt
Filed under: uncultured bacterium
Lineage: Bacteria
Description: partial 16S ribosomal RNA
Rfam family: Bacterial small subunit ribosomal RNA
Source: RNAcentral